AAGAGUUUAUAGACUUUGGUCUACUACUCCACCCUUUGUUUACAAUACCAUUGUUGCUUUGGCAGGCCCGUCGUAAGACAACCGGCUUCGGCUGGUUAGUGCCUGCCAGAGGACCUAAAACUCAUGUUUAUAAUAUUGUCUGAGUACUAUAUAAUAGUUA
This 160-nucleotide unclassified non-coding RNA is filed under the name uncultured Alatospora. RNAcentral's name for it is "sequence contains ITS1". The record is from RNAcentral. Lineage: Eukaryota; Fungi; Ascomycota.